This 460-nucleotide ribosomal RNA is filed under the name uncultured bacterium. RNAcentral describes it as "partial 16S ribosomal RNA". It matches the Rfam family "Bacterial small subunit ribosomal RNA", at positions 338 to 795 of the family's 1533-position model. The record is from RNAcentral.
CCUACGGGAGGCAGCAGUGAGGAAUAUUGGUCAAUGGGCGCAAGCCUGAACCAGCCAAGUCGCGUGAGGGAAUACGGCCCUACGGGUUGUAAACCUCUUUUGCCGGGGAGCAAGCCUGAGCACGUGUGCCGAGGCGGAGAGUACCCGGAGAAAAAGCAUCGGCUAACUCCGUGCCAGCAGCCGCGGUAAUACGGAGGAUGCGAGCGUUAUACGGAUUUAUUGGGUUUAAAGGGUGCGCAGGCGGGCUGUUAAGCCGGCGGUCAAAUGUCGGGGCUCAACCCCGUCGAGCCGUCGGAACUGGGAGCCUUGAGUGGGCGAGAAGUAUGCGGAAUGCGUGGUGUAGCGGUGAAAUGCAUAGAUAUCACGCAGAACGCCGAUUGCGAAGGCAGCAUACCGGCGCCCGACUGACGCUGAGGCACGAAAGUGUGGGGAUCGAACAGGAUUAGAUACCCCAGUAGUC